This is a long non-coding RNA of Pygocentrus nattereri (red-bellied piranha), 1337 nucleotides long. The record is from Ensembl. Lineage: Eukaryota; Metazoa; Chordata; Actinopteri; Characiformes; Serrasalmidae.
GAAGGUCUGUAAACUAGGCCCUGAAGGUUUUACUCCAAAACCUGGGAAGAACCGUGUCCAGUCUCUCUGUGCAUUUGCACAGCCUGUACCUUCACACAUAAGCAAAGCACUGUGGAAGGCUUUAAGCCUCAUGCAUGCAGAUGAAAUCACAGCUGCUGUCAAAAAUGAUAGCUGCAUCAUUCAGUUGGGGGAACAUUUGUUGAACAAAGGUGGAUCAACUGCAAAACAUGAAGCAUGCGUACGACAGAAGUUGCGAGAACUAGGAAAACUACUUAUCACUGGCAGAAACGUUGCAUCUCUAAAGACAAUGGAAGAUUUUAUACAUCCUCAAAACUACAUGAAGAUGGUUCAAGCUGUCAGACAUACAUGUGGAUAUGAUAGUGAAGCCAACACAUACAAAACUCCUUCUCUAGCAAAAAAACUUGGAAUAAGCCUGAUGAAGCUCAGCAAACUCAUGAAAGCUAAAGCUUUGAUUGCGAAAGACCACUGCUUGGCACAGAAUUUCAGUAACUUCCAAGAAAUACAUAAAGAACGGUGGUGUGAACUGAUCUCUGCAACAGCAGCACGAAAUCUUGAGGAGUCAAAGUGGAAUGCCCCCACAGUGUUGCCUUUUACAGAAGAUGUGCAAAAACUUCAUGCAUUUCUCAAUAAAAUGCAAGAGGAGUUGAUCAAGCAGUUAUCAGCGGAGCCCACAUCAAAAUACUGGUCUGAGCUUGCAAAGGUCGCUUUGACUCAAAUCAUCCUCUUUAACCGUCGUAGAGAGGGAGAGGUAUCGUGUAUGCUCCUGUCUGCUUUCUUAUCCAGGGACAGCAGUGAUCCACAUGAUGAUAUAGAUUGGGCCCUCUCUGAAGUUGAGAAAAAACUCUGCAGGCACUUUUCCAGAAUUGUGAUCAGAGGAAAAAGAGGACGUCCAGUUCCCAUUCUGCUGACCCCUAAAAUGCUGAAUGCAGUAGAGUUGCUUGUGAAGAACAGGGAGACUUGUGGAGUGCUGAAAGACAAUGUUUAUCUCUUUGCCCGGCCAUCAGCAAUGUCACAUUACAGAGGAUCAGAUUGUAUCCGCAGCUUUGCGAAGUCUUGUAAUGCAAAUAGUCCUGAUGCACUGACAUCCACAAAACUGCGAAAACAUGCUGCCACUCUUUCUACAGUUCUAAACUUGAAGGACACAGACAUGGAUCAGUUAGCAAACUUCCUGGGACAUGACAUCAGAAUUCAUAGGGAGUACUAUCGCCUUCCUGAAAAGACCCUCCAACUUGCAAAAGUCAGCAAAGUUCUUAUGGCAUUAGAACAAGGGAGACUUGCGGACUUCAAGGGCAAGAAUUUGGAUGAGAUCAAUAUUG